AAGCCUGUGUCAGCACUG
RNAcentral lists this non-coding RNA (18 nucleotides) under Mus musculus (house mouse). The record is from RNAcentral. Lineage: Eukaryota; Metazoa; Chordata; Mammalia; Rodentia; Muridae.